Molecule: ribosomal RNA, 460 nt
Filed under: uncultured bacterium
Lineage: Bacteria
Description: partial 16S ribosomal RNA
Rfam family: Bacterial small subunit ribosomal RNA
Source: RNAcentral
CCUACGGGAGGCAGCAGUGAGGAAUAUUGGUCAAUGGGCGAGAGCCUGAACCAGCCAAGUCGCGUGAAGGAUGACGGCCCUACGGGUUGUAAACUUCUUUUGUCAGGGAGCAAUUGAGUCCACGUGUGGGCUUAGCGAGAGUACCUGAAGAAAAGGCAUCGGCUAACUCCGUGCCAGCAGCCGCGGUAAUAGGGAGGAUGCGAGCGUUAUCCGGAUUUAUCGGGUUUAAGGGGUGCGUAGGCGGAAUAUCAAGUCAGCGGUAAAAAUUCGGGGCUCAACCCCGUCGUGCCGUUGAAACUGAUGUUGUUGAGUAGGCGAGAGGUAUGCGGAAUGCGUGGUGUAGCGGUGAAAUGCGGAGAUAUCACGCAGAACUCCGAUUGCGAAGGCAGCAUACCGGCGCCCAACUGACGCUGAGGCACGAAAGCGUGGGUAGCGAACAGGAUUAGAUACCCGGGUAGUC